GCCUGCCUGGAAUCGGGCAGCUGGCCAGGGACAAGCCAGCGGGGCAGGAAGAGAGGGGAGGGGGACAAGCCCAGGCUCUGACAGGGAAGAGAAUUCACUGUUUAACAGCCAUCAGACAGAAGAAGGAGAGCAAGAGGGUGUGCUUGCGCCUGCACGUGUGUGAGCCCGACUUUGUGCCUUUGCAGAUUCAUCCGCGUUGACCGCCCGCCCGCGAGGCUGACAAAGGAACCUGGAAGAGCAACAUACUUAAGGGAAAACAGACAAACUCUUCACCACGGUCAUCCUUCUCAGGAGAGAGCAUGGCCCGGAGUUCCAGUGGGUAGGGAACGGCUGUGCUACGGAUUCACCAGCUCCCGACGUGUCUACUCCAGACUCAGGAUCGGCAGGGAGGCCUCAUUCCAGAGCUGAGGAGCUGCACUGAGAAGAAAGGAACCUGAACCCUCAGAAUUCACACCUGGAGAACUCUAGAAGGAAAUCUCAAUCCCCAGCACCCUCCAUAGCUGACAGAGAGUGAAGGUCUUCUUAUAGCACUGGUCUAGAGAUGGGAGUCAAAGUUUUGAGGCCUGGCUAUGCUGUGACCAACUCUCAGCCUCAAGCUACUUCCUCCCCCAUCUGCACGGGGUGGGGCUCAUCAUGAAGACCUCUGGGAGACCAGCACCCUGACGUCACAAGGACGCACAUCAGGCAAGCAGCCCUUCAUUUGAAAACCUUUGUGCAUUUGGUCUUCAAAAUGAAGCCAUCCAGAGCGUGUACAUAUCCGUUUCAGUCAUCCAUAGUUCUCAUUAAGAAUGUCCAAGGGGCGCCUGUGUGGCUCAGUGGGUUAAAGCCUCUGCCUUCAGCUUGGGUCAUGGUCCCGGGGUCCUGGGAUCAAGCCCGACAUUGGACUCUGUGUUCUGUGGGGAGCCUGCUUCCUACUCUCUCUCUCUGCUUACACCUCUGCCUGCUUGUGAUCUCUGUCAAAUAAGUAAAUAAAUAAAUCUAAAAAAAACAAAAAAAAGAAUGUCCAACCAAUAAAUCACUUAUGGCCUGACCCUUUGAGAUUAUUAUUAGUUGCCAUUUCAUA
Mustela lutreola (European mink) is the source of this 1063-nucleotide long non-coding RNA. RefSeq lists it as uncharacterized. The transcript is spliced from 2 exons. The record is from RefSeq and is a predicted model, not a curated record. Lineage: Eukaryota; Metazoa; Chordata; Mammalia; Carnivora; Mustelidae.